GAACACGUAAUUCAUUACGAAGUUUAAUUCAUUGAGCAUCAAACUUUUAAAUUGAAGAGUUUGAUCAUGGCUCAGAUUGAACGCUGGCGGCAGGCCUAACACAUGCAAGUCGAACGGUAACAGGAAGCAGCUUGCUGCUUUGCUGACGAGUGGCGGACGGGUGAGUAAUGUCUGGGAAACUGCCUGAUGGAGGGGGAUAACUACUGGAAACGGUGGCUAAUACCGCAUAACGUCGCAAGACCAAAGAGGGGGACCUUCGGGCCUCUUGCCAUCAGAUGUGCCCAGAUGGGAUUAGCUUGUUGGUGAGGUAACGGCUCACCAAGGCGACGAUCCCUAGCUGGUCUGAGAGGAUGACCAGCCACACUGGAACUGAGACACGGUCCAGACUCCUACGGGAGGCAGCAGUGGGGAAUAUUGCACAAUGGGCGCAAGCCUGAUGCAGCCAUGCCGCGUGUAUGAAGAAGGCCUUCGGGUUGUAAAGUACUUUCAGCGGGGAGGAAGGUGUUGUGGUUAAUAACCGCAGCAAUUGACGUUACCCGCAGAAGAAGCACCGGCUAACUCCGUGCCAGCAGCCGCGGUAAUACGGAGGGUGCAAGCGUUAAUCGGAAUUACUGGGCGUAAAGCGCACGCAGGCGGUCUGUCAAGUCGGAUGUGAAAUCCCCGGGCUCAACCUGGGAACUGCAUUCGAAACUGGCAGGCUUGAGUCUUGUAGAGGGGGGNNNNNNNNNNNNNNNNNNNNGAAAUGCGUAGAGAUCUGGAGGAAUACCGGUGGCGAAGGCGGCCCCCUGGACAAAGACUGACGCUCAGGUGCGAAAGCGUGGGGAGCAAACAGGAUUAGAUACCCUGGUAGUCCACGCCGUAAACGAUGUCUACUUGGAGGUUGUGCCCUUGAGGCGUGGCUUCCGGAGCUAACGCGUUAAGUAGACCGCCUGGGGAGUACGGCCGCAAGGUUAAAACUCAAAUGAAUUGACGGGGGCCCGCACAAGCGGUGGAGCAUGUGGUUUAAUUCGAUGCAACGCGAAGAACCUUACCUGGUCUUGACAUCCACGGAAGUUUUCAGAGAUGAGAAUGUGCCUUCGGGAACCGUGAGACAGGUGCUGCAUGGCUGUCGUCAGCUCGUGUUGUGAAAUGUUGGGUUAAGUCCCGCAACGAGCGCAACCCUUAUCCUUUGUUGCCAGCGGUCCGGCCGGGAACUCAAAGGAGACUGCCAGUGAUAAACUGGAGGAAGGUGGGGAUGACGUCAAGUCAUCAUGGCCCUUACGACCAGGGCUACACACGUGCUACAAUGGCGCAUACAAAGAGAAGCGACCUCGCGAGAGCAAGCGGACCUCAUAAAGUGCGUCGUAGUCCGGAUUGGAGUCUGCAACUCGACUCCAUGAAGUCGGAAUCGCUAGUAAUCGUGGAUCAGAAUGCCACGGUGAAUACGUUCCCGGGCCUUGUACACACCGCCCGUCACACCAUGGGAGUGGGUUGCAAAAGAAGUAGGUAGCUUAACCUUCGGGAGGGCGCUUACCACUUUGUGAUUCAUGACUGGGGUGAAGUCGUAACAAGGUAACCGUAGGGGAACCUGCGGUUGGAUCACCUCCUUACCUUAAAGAAGCGUACUUUGCAGUGCUCACACAGAUUGUCUGAUGAAAA
Molecule: ribosomal RNA, 1638 nt
Filed under: Salmonella enterica subsp. enterica serovar Paratyphi A
Lineage: Bacteria; Pseudomonadati; Pseudomonadota; Gammaproteobacteria; Enterobacterales; Enterobacteriaceae
Description: bacterial SSU rRNA
Rfam family: Bacterial small subunit ribosomal RNA
Source: RNAcentral